This 480-nucleotide ribosomal RNA is filed under the name uncultured bacterium. Its description in RNAcentral is "partial 16S ribosomal RNA". It matches the Rfam family "Bacterial small subunit ribosomal RNA", at positions 28 to 523 of the family's 1533-position model. The record is from RNAcentral.
GACGAACGCUGGCGGCACGCUUAACACAUGCAAGUCGAACGGAGAACAUUGAGCUUGCUUAAUGUUCUUAGUGGCGGACGGGUGAGUAACACGUGAGUAACCUGCCUCUGAGAGUGGGAUAGCUUCUGGAAACGGAUGGUAAUACCGCAUAACAUCAUGGAUUCGCAUGUUUCUAUGAUCAAAGAUUUAUCGCUCAGAGAUGGACUCGCGUCUGAUUAGCUAUUUGGUAAGGUAACGGCUUACCAAGGCGACGAUCAGUAGCCGGACUGAGAGGUUGAUCGGCCACAUUGGGACUGAGACACGGCCCAGACUCCUACGGGAGGCAGCAGUGGGGAAUAUUGCACAAUGGGGGAAACCCUGAUGCAGCGAUGCCGCGUGGAGGAAGAAGGUUUUCGGAUUGUAAACUCCUGUUGAAGAGGACGAUAAUGACGGUACUCUUUUAGAAAGCUCCGGCUAACUACGUGCCAGCCGCCGCCGUAA